GAAAAUGUUAUGACAUCACAAAUAUAAAAAGUAGAAUGCAAAAUUUAAUGUGCUAUAUGAUUACAGCUGUGUUUUAAAAAAAAAAAAUCUCUACACGGAAAAAUUUAGAAGAAAACAUCAAAAUAGUAACACCAGUUGUUUAGGGAGGGCGAAAGCUUAGGUGGCUUGGUUUUUUCCAAUUUUUAUUCAUUUUCUGAAUAUUCCUUAACGAGAAAGUAUGUAUUACAUAAUAGAGUAGAGGAAGUUUUAAAUAGAUGUUCAGUGAGAAAAAAGAGGUGCUACCCACUACGUGGGGUUGAGGGGAAAGUCUGAGACCCUCAUGGUGAGGGUGUGGGGGACGAUGGAAAGACCUCCUCGAGUGAGAAUGGGUGGGGAGAAAGGAGGAAGCCCUACACAUGACAGAGGAAAAGAUGACUUUCCUUCAGAGAGGGCUGCUGGAGGCUGAGGAGAGAUUCACAGAGUGUGAAGACAGAGGGGUGGAGAGGGGGAUGCUGGGCCUGAGGAUGCAUCUGUUCUGCCUUCCCCUGUCUCCUCAGAGCCCAUUCAGAUGAUAAAUAAUUAGGGUUAAUCAUACUUUUGGGUUUUUUAAACCAGUGACUGAAACAGGACCUAGGGAGACCAAUAGAUCUGGAGUCUGGACACUCAAUAAAUUCUGCUCCAAAGCUGGCUGCAGAAAGAAGCUUCCCCUCAUGAGCUCAACCAGCAGGCAAAGGAAACCACCAGCUCUUUAUGGUGAGAAGUCACAUCACCUCACAGCCCCAUUACAUGCAGCCUCCAGAACUGUGUGGUUUGCAACUUGUGAGGUGUAAGUAACAAACUCAUAAACAUUGAAACCUUGGUGGAAAGUAAAGAAGGUAUCUGUACCAUUUCAGUAAGGCUUUCACUCAUUCAUUUGAUCAUGAAUGCAUUCAUUCACUUAUUCAUUCAGCAGUACUUAUUGAGCACCACUUAAGUGCUGGGCAUUAUGCUGAACUCAGGGAAUACAGCAGUGGGCCAUGACAGAGGUCUCUGCCCUCAGGGUGCUUACAUUCUAAUGGCAGAGGCCAACACUCAAAUAUCCUUUAAAUAUCAUGGCUGCAAUGAUGACUGCUAUGAAAGAGAGCUGUGUGGAGCCAAGAAUGGCAAAUUUUCCUCUGGUCAGAGACAGUAUCUCCAAAGUGAUGAAGACUGAGCUGAGAUCGGAAGAUGAGUAGGAGCUACUUACAAGAAGUGGAAAGGGAAAAUAAAACCCUUCUAGUCAGAGGUGCAAAGGCCUUGUGGUGAGAGGACCUAAAAGAACAAAAGUCAGUGUGGCCAGCAGAGAGAGUUGCACUUUUAAAAUUUCAUUAGUUGCAGUAUGGUAAACAGAUUGUAGGGGGUCAAGAUUGGAUGUAGGCAAACUGAGUCAGAAGGCUCCUACAGUUAUCCAGGAGAGAGGUGAUGGUAGGUUGGACAAGGAUGGUAGGAUGCAGAGAGAGGGAAGGAUGCUUUCAAGAGAUAUCUAAGGGAUAAGGAGGUUUCUGCUUUCAGUACUGUCUUGGGAAUGUGUGCUGAUCUGGAAAAGGAGGUAGGAAGAUGGGCCUUUGCUUCUGAUAGCCUCUAGGGACUAGACGGACAAAGUUUGGAGUCUGGGGCUGCCAAGAUUAGAGAACUGGUAAAUCACUCAUCUUUUUGACCUGGGACCCGAAAAGACUUACCCUAGGAGACUUAUCCUUCUUGUAAACAAGAAGUACACCAGUUUUAAUUCAUCUAUGGAGCCAAGAAAAUCUCAAAACUGCUAUUAGAUUAAAGAGAUCCAAGCUUACAAGUGCCCACAAGUACCUUACAGAAGCAAACAAAGACCAUCACUAAAAGAAAAUAGCAUUCUUAAACCUCACAUUUUCCUACAAAUAAUUUUUCAUAAGCAACAUUCAUCAUAUGUUCAGAGAUAUCCAGGCCCAUGAGCAAGACCCUCUUGGUGGGGACAGCCUAUCACAGACUGCAGCCCAGGACGCAGCCUGGCCCACUCCCCUCUCAUUUCAUCCCAAGAAGAUGGAAGGAGGAACUUCAAACCUUCUCAGUUCAUGUACUUGUAGACACACUUAAAAGAUGUUUGGGCCGGGCGCGGUGGCUCAAGCCUGUAAUCCCAGCACUUUGGGAGGCCGAGACGAGUGGAUCACGAGGUCAGGAGAUCAAGACCAUCCUGGCUAACACGGUGAAACCCUGUCUCUACUAAAAAAAAAUACAAAAAACUAGCCCAGUGAGGUGGCGGGCGCCUGUAGUCCCAGCUACUCGGGAGGCUGAGGCACGAGAAUGGAGUAAACCCGGGUGGCGGAGCUUGCAGUGAGCUGAGGUCCAGCCACUGCACUCCAGCCUGGGCAACAGAGCGAGACUCCAUCUCCAAAAAAAAAAAAAAGAUGUUUGGAGUUCUAUCUGAGUAUAGUCCUAAGCAUACUCUUUAUUGCAAUCUGUCAAGAAUAUAGCCAACAACAGAGAAGAGUUGAUAAACCAUAAAAUGACCAUUUAUAAUAUUUAAUAUUUAGAGCAGUCACAAUAUGCCAAUCAUUGUUCUAAACAAUAUAUAUGCAUAUGUGUAUAUGUAUAGACAUAUGUACCUUUAUUUAAUCUUCAUAACAAACAUAACCGUUUUAUAGAUGAGAUAGUUGAGACCAAGACUGUCUUUUGUCUAGCUGAGUUUUGUGGCUUGUUUUGUUUUGUUUGGCUAGUAUGUAUUACUGUUCUAGGCAGUAUUAAUUAAUUGAUUAAUUUAUUUAAAAUUUAUCAUUUUAAAAUAAAUACUGGUACUGCUUAUCUUUACUAAUUAUAAAAGUUAUUUUUUCUUUCAAUUAAAACUUAUUAUGUGUCUACAAUGUGCUCCCCAUACUUCUAGGAGCUCACAAUCAAGUGGGAGACAGGGAUAUCAACAGACAUUACUAGUUAAAAUGAGUUCGUAUGUUGCCCAGGCUGGCCUCAAAUUUCUGAUCUCAGGUGAUCCUCCUGCCUCAGCCUCCCAAGUGGCUGGGAGUACAAGUGUGCACCACUGCAUCUGGCCUUCCUCUGCCUUUUGUGUUCUGUUCAGGUCCUCAACUGAUUGGGUGGUGCUCAUCCACAUUGGUAAGGGUGGAUCUUUACUCAGUCUACUGAUUCAAAAAUGAAUCUCUUCUGGAAACAUCAUCACAGACACACCCGGAAAUAACAUUUUACCAAUUAUCUGAGAAUCCCUUAACCCAGUCAAGUUGACACAUGAAAUUCAUCAUCACAAGUCCACCCCUUGUCAAUUUAGCACCCAUAGCAAUCUCCUAAAACUCAUACUUAAUCUCCAAAUAAAGAGAAUAACAAGGCCAUAAUUCAAUCUAGCAUGAUACAACAAUCUUGCAUACAACUGAAAACACACUAGCCUCUUCCCCAGAAGAAGAGAUAAAGUCUUUGAGUAAUAUUUACUCUUCUCCUGAUAGCUGUAACUUAAAUAUUAUGAUGUAAAAUUAACAAUACUUAAAUACUGAUAUAAAUUUAAUACAUCUUGUGUUACAUGAUAAGAAAAUAAGACAGGAAAGAAAGAAAAUAUAUUUGCCUAACAUACAUACACAUAAUUGUAUUCAUAACAAAAUAAGGAGGAAAUAUCCACGACAAUUACAGUCCUUAUUUCUGUAACUGGUCAUAUGGUUGUAGCUGAAAUUUACAAUUAUCUUUUUCUA
Macaca fascicularis (crab-eating macaque) is the source of this 3653-nucleotide long non-coding RNA. NCBI's taxonomy places the organism in Eukaryota, Metazoa, Chordata, Mammalia, Primates, Cercopithecidae. The record is from Ensembl.